AUGCCAUUUGGCCUAUGCAAUGGGUCGGCAACUUUCCAGUGCUUGAUGAACACGGUGUUCGGCCGCUAUGUGCGUAAGUUCAUCAUCAUAUUUUUGGAUGACAUCUUGGUAUUCAGCACUGACCUGCAGGAACACGAGGAACACCUUCGCCUCACGCUGCAACUUCUCCGCGAGCAUCAACUAUUCACCAAGGCCAGCAAGUGUUCGUUCGCACAAACAAGCAUUGAAUACCUUGGACAUGUGAUCUCACAAGAGGGAGUUGCUACGGACAACAGCAAGACCAGCGCCAUGCAGUCCUGGCCCGUGCCCACUACGCCCACCGAGCUGUGCGGCUUCUUGGGGUUGACGGGCUACUACCGCAAAUUCGUCCCCCAUUACGGCAUCAUCGCCAAGCCCCUGACGCAACUAUUGACGAAGAAAGGGUUUAUCUGGGACGACAAGGCGUAG
This 447-nucleotide ribosomal RNA is filed under the name Triticum aestivum (bread wheat). Its description in RNAcentral is "partial small subunit ribosomal RNA". The record is from RNAcentral. Lineage: Eukaryota; Viridiplantae; Streptophyta; Magnoliopsida; Poales; Poaceae.